This 77-nucleotide transfer RNA is filed under the name Cordylochernes scorpioides. RNAcentral describes it as "tRNA-Thr". Lineage: Eukaryota; Metazoa; Arthropoda; Arachnida; Pseudoscorpiones; Chernetidae. The record is from RNAcentral.
GCUCUAAGUGGAAUCUAGUGGACAUGGCAUCUGCCUGGUAAGCGGAACACUGUGGGUUCGAUUCCCAUCCCUGGACA